Molecule: long non-coding RNA, 2792 nt
Filed under: Harpegnathos saltator (Jerdon's jumping ant)
Lineage: Eukaryota; Metazoa; Arthropoda; Insecta; Hymenoptera; Formicidae
Description: uncharacterized LOC112590360
Source: RNAcentral
AGCUCGCGAUCGAAUCUCGCUUCAGCGAGAACGAAGAAAGGAGAAGAGACGCGCAAAGUGGGAAGGAGACAGCGAACGUGACAGGGGGUGUGGUGGUGCGGGUGUAGAGCUAGCGGAGAGGGAGAGGGGCACCCCCACGUACCGACCGACGGCGCCAUUGACAGCGUGGUACUGCGUGAACUCUUAAGCCGGAUACCAGAUACCGGAGAAGCGCCAUUCGUAUCGGUGUAAUCGGUUGGUGCCGAGUUUGGCAGUAUUGCCUUCUGCGCGCCUCCCGCGACUAUCUGUGAUUGAUCCACGUGCGUGGUAGAGUGGAGCGCGUAUACUAUAUCACUACUACGGUGUGCGCGCACCUCGUUUUCCGUUCACCGAUCCUCGCUCCGGAAACGACCACGUCUAUCGUCGUCUUCGUCCGCCAGCACCACCACCACAACCACCAUCACCACCACCAGCACCACCACCACCACCACCUCCUCCUCCGCCUUCCCCUCCCGCUUGUUCUCUUUCCCUGCCCCUUCUCUUUCUCUUCCAUUUUUUUCCUUUCAUCCUCGUCUUCGUCUUCGACUUCGUCUUCGUGUUCGUCUUCGUCGUCGUCGUCGUCGUCGUCGUCGUCGUCAUCGAAGUUUAGCAAUCGAACCGUACACUCGCAACAUCAUUUCGGAAUCGUCCCGACAAACGGCCAAUCGCGUUGGGCCCGUCUAGUCCGCUCGGUUGGUAAAAAAGCGCGAGCUGCUCCGAUACGUCGAGGGGAUUCCUGCGACGGUGGCCCAAAAUGAGGGGAAAGGGAAAGUGAGUGGAAGAGAGAACCAGAGAGGGUAGUAAGUAGAAAGAGAAAGACGCAGGAAACGGACGCGCGCGCGGUGCGUGCGGGGAGGAGGGAUAGAGGGACGCAGAUAGAGCGAAAAGGGUAGGGAGGGGAGCUAGAAAGCUAGGCAUCGGAGAGACGGGACGGGAAAGCAUAGUCCUUUACCACCCGCACGAGUUUCCUCUCGACUGUCGUACGGAACGACACGCGGACGCCUUUUCCUCCGAGUGCAAGUGGACGAGAGAGUUGGACCAAGCGUGCGUUAUUCUCAUCGUCGCUAUCGGUCGUGAUCGUUGGUCGUGCUCCUCAUCAUCAUCAUCAUCAUCACCAUCAUCACCGCCAUCAUCAUCAUUAUCAUCAUUGUCAUCAUCAUCAUCAUCGUCGUCGUCGUCGUCGUCGUCGUCGUCGUCGUCGCCGUCGUCGCCGCCGUCGUCGUCGCCGUCGUCGUCGCCGUCGCCGUCGCUGCUGUCGCCGCCGUCGUCGCCGCCGCCGCCGCUGCUGCCGUUGCCGCCGCCGUCGAUUCGAUAUAAUCGUCAUUGCCCCGUGACGUAAAUCGCGGUGUCGUCACACCACCCAAGAAGGAGGGAACGACGUACUCGAAAGAGGGAGUACACACGCAACGGAAGGAAGCAAAAAAAACGGAAGAGGACUGAAGGGAAAAGGAUUACAGAGAAGGAGAACGAAUAAGGAAGAGAAAGGGCGAGAACGAAGAAGAGAUAGAGGGGAGAGAAGAAGAGAGAGAAAGAGACAAAGAAGAAGAGAGAGAGAGAGAGAGAGAGCGAGGAAGUGCGCGUGUCGUAAACGACGAGAGGAGAGAGGAGAAAAUACUCUCGCAUGUAGUAGUCGCCGAAACUUGGGAGUAUCAUUUCGUUGUUUCGAGACGUGCGACGUGUUCCUUAUUUUAGGACGGAACUCGUAGAAGGCGUAGGACGAAGAAAAAGAAGGAGAGAGAGAGACAUCUGGAGACGGGAGUGUAUAGUCUCUCCGUGUUUUGUGUGACGAGUUUUGCGAUAAAGAGCAAAGUUAUUAACGCGUAAACAUGUCUCUGGAUAAAUUCACGGAGAGUACCCUGCAGAAAGAGAUGGAGAGGCUGGAUAUCGAAGAGAAGAACGGCGAUGCUCAAAGGUAAGGAUAUUCUUACAAUUUUAUGAUCUUUACGGUGAGGACGGGACUGUAUCGAGUAAUUGACAGGUAGGACGUAAGGACCAUUUCGGUCUAAUCCGGAAAUGGAUGAAACGAUAACAUGCGAACUAAAGCAGACAAAGAUUUACUUUACAUAGUGAUUAAUUUCGAGAUUUGAAUUCCAAGAUCCUCGUUUUGCGAAAGUCUCCUCUCCUUUGUUAAUGCACACGCGUCUCUCUCUCUCUCUCCCUCUCUCCCCCUCCCUCCCUCCUUUCUCACCAAAAGGUUUAAUAUUCCCGCGAAAACGAGACAUCUUUGACCUUACAUUCCUUUCUCGAAGCGCGAAAAUCAUUCAAGCGAGAUACAACUUGGUGCUUUUCACGACUGAUUCAAUUUGCCUCCGGAACUCGCAGCGGAGCUUUCCUGCCCGCGACCUUCGCGACGUUGUACUAUCGACAGAAGCCCUGGUAGCCCGAGCGGGCGCGGGGCCGAUCGUCGGCAUAGGACGGCUGUCAGCCUCGGCCUCGGUGCAAUUUCGGCGCGGUGCAACGCGGUGCGCGCGCUGACCUGUCUGUCGUGCAUAACUAUUUCUCUUCGUCGUUCUUUCUCCGCCCACCCUUACCCUGUAGGGGGCGAAGCCGCUCCCUCCUCCUCAUAUUCGCAUCGUCGUAGCGAACGAUGCGAGACCGCCAGCUGCGAAGGACUCUAUUCCGGGAAUAGGAGAAGAAGCGGGACGCGAAUUCAUUAAUCCAUCGCGAGACGUCUCGGCCGCGUUUUCGACUAGCCGCGUCCUACAACGAUCCCGUCACCGCCGCUUCCCACCUGUCGCUCGUUCGUUCACUCCUUCCUUUCAUCCUUCCCUUCU